AUGUAGCUCAGUGGUAUAUAGCACUUGCCUCACAUGCAUGAGGCCCUGGGUUCAAUCCCUAGUGU
RNAcentral lists this transfer RNA (65 nucleotides) under Marmota marmota marmota (Alpine marmot). It matches the Rfam family "tRNA", at positions 5 to 66 of the family's 71-position model. Rfam says of the family: Transfer RNA (tRNA) molecules are approximately 80 nucleotides in length. Their secondary structure includes four short double-helical elements and three loops (D, anti-codon, and T loops). RNAcentral also lists the same sequence under 4 other names. The record is from Rfam by way of RNAcentral. Lineage: Eukaryota; Metazoa; Chordata; Mammalia; Rodentia; Sciuridae.